RNAcentral lists this ribosomal RNA (253 nucleotides) under uncultured bacterium. RNAcentral describes it as "partial 16S ribosomal RNA". It matches the Rfam family "Bacterial small subunit ribosomal RNA", at positions 524 to 776 of the family's 1533-position model. RNAcentral also lists the same sequence under 1 other name. The record is from RNAcentral.
UACAGAGGGUGCAAGCGUUAAUCGGAAUUACUGGGCGUAAAGCGUGCGUAGGUGGUUUGUUAAGUCAGGCGUGAAAUCCCUGGGCUCAACCUGGGAACUGCGCUUGAUACUGGCAGACUCGAGUGUGGUAGAGGGUAGUGGAAUUCCGCAUGUAGCAGUGAAAUGCGUAGAUAUGCGGAGGAACACCAGUGGCGAAGGCGGCUACCUGGACCAACACUGACACUGAGGCACGAAAGCGUGGGGAGCAAACAGG